GAUUUCUGGUUCGGCGCACUUGGCCCGUCUCGGUUUACGGGAUUGUGUGCCGGUGUGCGCCAUCCAUCCUUCGAGAGAACACUUCUACCCUUCACUGGGUCGGGAGUGCUAUCUCGAUCUUUUACUUUGAAAAAAUUAGAGUGUUUAAAGCAGGCUUGCGCUAUGAAUACAUUAGCAUGGAAUAAUAAUUUAGGACUUGAUUCCUAUUUUAUUGGUUUCUAGGGAUUAAGUAAUGAUUGAUAGGGAUAGUUGGGGGUGCUAGUAUUCAUCGGCCAGAGGUGAAAUUCUUGGAUUCGAUGAAGACUAACUAAUGCGAAAGCAUU
This 323-nucleotide ribosomal RNA is filed under the name uncultured Cercomonas. RNAcentral's name for it is "SSU rRNA". The stretch from base 62 to 323 matches the Rfam family "Eukaryotic small subunit ribosomal RNA", at positions 692 to 955 of the family's 1831-position model. Lineage: Eukaryota; Cercozoa; Cercomonadida; Cercomonadidae. The record is from RNAcentral.